Molecule: ribosomal RNA, 1029 nt
Filed under: Phaeosphaeria oryzae
Lineage: Eukaryota; Fungi; Ascomycota; Dothideomycetes; Pleosporales; Phaeosphaeriaceae
Description: SSU rRNA
Rfam family: Eukaryotic small subunit ribosomal RNA
Source: RNAcentral
CAAUUAUACCGUGAAACUGCGAAUGGCUCAUUAAAUCAGUUAUCGUUUAUUUGAUAGUACCUUACUACUUGGAUAACCGUGGUAAUUCUAGAGCUAAUACAUGCUGAAAACCCCAACUUCGGGAGGGGUGUAUAUAUUAGAUAAAAAACCAACGCCCUUCGGGGCUUCUUGGUGAUUCAUGAUAUCUUUACGGAUCGCAUGGCCUUGCGCCGGCGACGGUUCAUUCAAAUUUCUGCCCUAUCAACUUUCGAUGGUAAGGUAUUGGCUUACCAUGGUUUCAACGGGUAACGGGGAAUUAGGGUUCGAUUCCGGAGAGGGAGCCUGAGAAACGGCUACCACAUCCAAGGAAGGCAGCAGGCGCGCAAAUUACCCAAUCCCGACACGGGGAGGUAGUGACAAUAAAUACUGAUACAGGGCUCUUUUGGGUCUUGUAAUUGGAAUGAGUACAAUUUAAACCUCUUAACGAGGAACAAUUGGAGGGCAAGUCUGGUGCCAGCAGCCGCGGUAAUUCCAGCUCCAAUAGCGUAUAUUAAAGUUGUUGCAGUUAAAAAGCUCGUAGUUGAACCUUGGGUCUGGCUGGCAGGUCCGCCUCACCGCGUGUACUUGUCCGGCCGGGCCUUCCUUCUGGAGAACCUCAUGCCCUUCACUGGGCGUGUUGGGGACCAGGACUUUUACUUUGAAAAAAUUAGAGUGUUCAAAGCAGGCCUUUGCUCGAAUACGUUAGCAUGGAAUAAUAGAAUAGGACGUGCGGUCCUAUUUUGUUGGUUUCUAGGACCGCCGUAAUGAUUAAUAGGGACAGUCGGGGGCAUCAGUAUUCAAUUGUCAGAGGUGAAAUUCUUGGAUUUAUUGAAGACUAACUACUGCGAAAGCAUUUGCCAAGGAUGUUUUCAUUAAUCAGUGAACGAAAGUUAGGGGAUCGAAGACGAUCAGAUACCGUCGUAGUCUUAACCGUAAACUAUGCCGACUAGGGAUCGGGCGAUGUUCUUUUUCUGACUCGCUCGGCACCUUACGAGAAAUCAAAGUUUUUGG